RNAcentral lists this ribosomal RNA (432 nucleotides) under uncultured Bacillota bacterium. RNAcentral's name for it is "bacterial SSU rRNA". It matches the Rfam family "Bacterial small subunit ribosomal RNA", at positions 929 to 1365 of the family's 1533-position model. Lineage: Bacteria; Bacillati; Bacillota. The record is from RNAcentral.
CGGGCGGGGCGGGGGCACGGGGGGAACGCGAAGAACCUUACCAGGUCUUGACAUCCUCUGACAACUCUAGAGAUAGAGCGUUCCCCUUCGGGGGACAGAGUGACAGGUGGUGCAUGGUUGUCGUCAGCUCGUGUCGUGAGAUGUUGGGUUAAGUCCCGCAACGAGCGCAACCCUUGAUCUUAGUUGCCAGCAUUUAGUUGGGCACUCUAAGGUGACUGCCGGUGACAAACCGGAGGAAGGUGGGGAUGACGUCAAAUCAUCAUGCCCCUUAUGACCUGGGCUACACACGUGCUACAAUGGAUGGUACAAAGGGCUGCAAGACCGCGAGGUCAAGCCAAUCCCAUAAAACCAUUCUCAGUUCGGAUUGUAGGCUGCAACUCGCCUACAUGAAGCUGGAAUCGCUAGUAAUCGCGGAUCAGCAUGCCGCGUAUA